Molecule: ribosomal RNA, 1494 nt
Filed under: uncultured beta proteobacterium
Lineage: Bacteria; Pseudomonadati; Pseudomonadota; Betaproteobacteria
Description: 16S ribosomal RNA
Rfam family: Bacterial small subunit ribosomal RNA
Source: RNAcentral
UUGAGUUUGAUCCUGGCUCAGAUUGAACGCUGGCGGCAUGCCUUACACAUGCAAGUCGAACGGCAGCACGGGUGCUUGCACCUGGUGGCGAGUGGCGAACGGGUGAGUAAUACAUCGGAACAUGUCCUGUAGUGGGGGAUAGCCCGGCGAAAGCCGGAUUAAUACCGCAUACGAUCUACGGAUGAAAGCGGGGGACCUUCGGGCCUCGCGCUAUAGGGUUGGCCGAUGGCUGAUUAGCUAGUUGGUGGGGUAAAGGCCUACCAAGGCGACGAUCAGUAGCUGGUCUGAGAGGACGACCAGCCACACUGGGGCUGAGACACGGCCCAGACUCCUACGGGAGGCAGCAGUGGGGAAUUUUGGACAAUGGGCGAAAGCCUGAUCCAGCAAUGCCGCGUGUGUGAAGAAGGCCUUCGGGUUGUAAAGCACUUUUGUCCGGAAAGAAAUCCUUGGCUCUAAUACAGUCGGGGGAUGACGGUACCGGAAGAAUAAGCACCGGCUAACUACGUGCCAGCAGCCGCGGUAAUACGUAGGGUGCGAGCGUUAAUCGGAAUUACUGGGCGUAAAGCGUGCGCAGGCGGUUUGCUAAGACCGAUGUGAAAUCCCCGGGCUCAACCUGGGAACUGCAUUGGUGACUGGCAGGCUAGAGUAUGGCAGAAGGGGGUAGAAUUCCACGUGUAGCAGUGAAAUGCGUAGAGAUGUGGAGGAAUACCGAUGGCGAAGGGCAGCCCCCUGGGCCAAUACUGACGCUCAUGCACGAAAGCGUGGGGAGCAAACAGGAUUAGAUACCCUGGUAGUCCACGCCCUAAACGAUGUCAAUUAGUUGUUGGGGAUUCAUUUCCCUUAGUAACGUAGCUAACGCGUGAAGUUGACCGCCUGGGGAGUACGGUCGCAAGAUUAAAACUCAAAGGAAUUGACGGGGACCCGCACAAGCGGUGGAUGAUGUGGAUUGAUUCGAUGCAACGCGAAAAACCUUACCUACCCUUGACAUGGUCGGAAUCCCGCUGAGAGGUGGGAGUGCUCGAAAGAGAACCGGCGCACAGGUGCUGCAUGGCUGUCGUCAGCUCGUGUCGUGAGAUGUUGGGUUAAGUCCCGCAACGAGCGCAACCCUUGUCCUUAGUUGCUACGCAAGAGCACUCUAAGGAGACUGCCGGUGACAAACCGGAGGAAGGUGGGGAUGACGUCAAGUCCUCAUGGCCCUUAUGGGUAGGGCUUCACACGUCAUACAAUGGUCGGAACAGAGGGUUGCCAACCCGCGAGGGGGAGCUAAUCCCAGAAAACCGAUCGUAGUCCGGAUUGCACUCUGCAACUCGAGGGCAUGAAGCUGGAAUCGCUAGUAAUCGCGGAUCAGCAUGCCGCGGUGAAUACGUUCCCGGGUCUUGUACACACCGCCCGUCACACCAUGGGAGUGGGUUUUACCAGAAGUGGCUAGUCUAACCGCAAGGAGGACGGUCACCACGGUAGGAUUCAUGACUGGGGUGAAGUCGUAACAAGGUA